Molecule: long non-coding RNA, 553 nt
Organism: Erinaceus europaeus (western European hedgehog)
Lineage: Eukaryota; Metazoa; Chordata; Mammalia; Eulipotyphla; Erinaceidae
Exons: 4
Source: RefSeq, a predicted model, not a curated record
ACAUCACACUGGCAGGCUCUCUGUACUUGGAAACAAAUGGAGUAUUAAUGUCCACAAGCCCUGCUGUUGGACUGCUUUGAAGGCAUGCCCCACAGAAUGUCUGCUUCUGCCUUGCUUCUGCAGCAUCAGUGAGAGAAGGGCUUUACCUUCAUGGGUGUGUGAGGACAACAGACCUCAUCUUUGAAGAUAAGUUUCUCUUCACAGAGGAGAGAAACUAAGAGGGGAACAGGGGACACAAGGAGAGAGACACCUGCUGCACUGCUUCACCACUCAUGAAACUUCCCCUCUGCAAAUGGAGAGCAAGGAAUUGAACCUAGUCUCUGUGCAUGGUAACUUAACAGAGGCAGAGAAAAAUUAGGAGACGGGAGAAAAGAAGAAGAUAGAGAAGGAGAUUGACAGAGAAAUACCUGCAGACCUGCUUCAACACUAUUGAAGCUUCCCCCUACAGACAUAUUGGUAUAUUUGCUGACUCCAAGUUGCACAUGCUAUUAUGAUGCCAUCCUGAUUUCCCUGAGCAGAUGACCUUACCACUGUGGUCCAGAACCUUGCCUUU